Molecule: transfer RNA, 71 nt
Filed under: Marmota monax (woodchuck)
Lineage: Eukaryota; Metazoa; Chordata; Mammalia; Rodentia; Sciuridae
Description: tRNA.Ala
Rfam family: tRNA
About the family: Transfer RNA (tRNA) molecules are approximately 80 nucleotides in length. Their secondary structure includes four short double-helical elements and three loops (D, anti-codon, and T loops).
Source: RNAcentral
GGGGUUGUGGCUCAAAGGUAGAGUGCUUGCCUAGCAUGCAUGAGGCAUUGGGUUCGAUCCUCAGUACCACA